UGGUAGGAUAGUGGCCUACCAUGGUUUCUACGGGUAAAACAGUAUCCGUUGCCCGUAGGCACGAUCGUUGGGGGGGGCUUUCGGGCCCUCUCGGCGACACCGCUGGCUCCGAAGAGGCUCCCAGUGGGGGCUGACUCGGGGGCGAGCUCCGGCCUGGAGCCGCUCGAACGCAUGCAAAGCGGUGGGCUUCGUCUGACUCGAGGCUUUCGGUACAUGCUACCGCCCGGCCACGCCGCCGGGUCGGAUAAAUGAACGGGGAAUUAGGGUUCUAUUCCGGAGAGGGAGCCUGAGAAACGGCUACCACAUCCAAGGAAGGCAGCAGGCGCGCAAAUUACCCAAUCCCGACACGGGGAGGUAGUGACAAUAAAUACUGAUACAGGGCUCUUUU
RNAcentral lists this ribosomal RNA (388 nucleotides) under Letharia lupina. Its description in RNAcentral is "partial 18S small subunit ribosomal RNA". It matches the Rfam family "Eukaryotic small subunit ribosomal RNA", at positions 129 to 497 of the family's 1831-position model. Lineage: Eukaryota; Fungi; Ascomycota; Lecanoromycetes; Lecanorales; Parmeliaceae. The record is from RNAcentral.